RNAcentral lists this ribosomal RNA (301 nucleotides) under uncultured bacterium. RNAcentral describes it as "partial 16S ribosomal RNA". It matches the Rfam family "Bacterial small subunit ribosomal RNA", at positions 509 to 807 of the family's 1533-position model. The record is from RNAcentral.
CAGUCGCCGCGGUAAUACAGAGGAUGCAAGCGUUAUCCGGAAUGAUUGGGCGUAAAGCGUCUGUGGGUGGCUUUUCAAGUCCGCCGUCAAAUCCCAGGGCUCAACCCUGGACAGGCGGUGGAAACUACCAAGCUGGAGUACGGUAGGGGCAGAGGGAAUUUCCAGUGGAGCGGUGAAAUGCGUUGAGAUCGAAAAGAACACCAACAGCGAAAGCACUCUGCUGGGACGACACUGACACUAAGAGACGAAAGCUAGGGGAGCAAAUGGGAUUAGAUACCCCGGUAGUCCCUGUCUCUUAUAC